AGAUUAAGUUAUUAAGGGCGCACGGUGGAUGCCUUGGCACUAGAAGCCGAUGAAGGACGUUACUAACGACGAUAUGCUUUGGGGAGCUGUAAGUAAGCUUUGAUCCAGAGAUUUCCGAAUGGGGAAACCCAGCAUGAGUUAUGUCAUGUUAUCGAUAUGUGAAUACAUAGCAUAUCAGAAGGCACACCCGGAGAACUGAAACAUCUUAGUACCCGGAGGAAGAGAAAGAAAAUUCGAUUCCCUUAGUAGCGGCGAGCGAAACGGGAAGAGCCCAAACCAACAAGCUUGCUUGUUGGGGUUGUAGGACACUCUGUACGGAGUUACAAAGGACGACAUUAGACGAAUCAUCUGGAAAGAUGAAUCAAAGAAGGUAAUAAUCCUGUAGUCGAAAAUGUUGUCUCUCUUGAGUGGAUCCUGAGUACGACGGAGCACGUGAAAUUCCGUCGGAAUCUGGGAGGACCAUCUCCUAAGGCUAAAUACUCUCUAGUGACCGAUAGCGAACCAGUACCGUGAGGGAAAGGUGAAAAGCACCCCGGAAGGGGAGUGAAAUAGAACCUGAAACCGUGUGCUUACAAGUAGUCAGAGCCCGUUAAUGGGUGAUGGCGUGCCUUUUGUAGAAUGAACCGGCGAGUUACGAUUUGAUGCAAGGUUAAGCAGUAAAUGUGGAGCCGUAGCGAAAGCGAGUCUGAAUAGGGCGUUUAGUAUUUGGUCGUAGACCCGAAACCAGGUGAUCUACCCUUGGUCAGGUUGAAGUUCAGGUAACACUGAAUGGAGGACCGAA
RNAcentral lists this ribosomal RNA (781 nucleotides) under Staphylococcus aureus. RNAcentral describes it as "bacterial LSU rRNA". It matches the Rfam family "Bacterial large subunit ribosomal RNA", at positions 1 to 778 of the family's 2925-position model. Lineage: Bacteria; Bacillati; Bacillota; Bacilli; Caryophanales; Staphylococcaceae. The record is from RNAcentral.